RNAcentral lists this long non-coding RNA (368 nucleotides) under Capsicum annuum. Its description in RNAcentral is "long non-coding RNA (CANN_LNC011285)". The record is from RNAcentral. Lineage: Eukaryota; Viridiplantae; Streptophyta; Magnoliopsida; Solanales; Solanaceae.
GGGGGGUAAGAUGUACGCAGUCCAUACCUCUACCUCUAAAGAAGUAGAAAGGCUAUUUCCGAUAGACCCCCGGCUCAAGUCACGAGAUACCACACAAACUCAUAGUAAAGCACAGAACUAGAUUACAUAACAUAAAUACGGCACCCAUAAGUAUUAGAAAACAGAGGAAAGCACACAGAUUCGUAAUAAAACAUGGAACACGGAAUCAUAACAAGAAUAAAACCCCCACCAAGUAAUUCCCUACAUUAGCGACCCAAACCGGCCCUAGUCUUCUGCCCUAAUUCGCGUCCUCCAGACCUUCCUAUCUAGGGUCAUGUCCUCGGUGAGCUGUAACUGCUCCAUGUCCCGCCUAAUCACCUCACCCUCCA